UACGUAGGGGGCUAGCGUUGUCCGGAAUCAUUGGGCGUAAAGCGCGUGUAGGCGGCCCGAUAAGUCCGCUGUGAAAGUCCAGGGCUCAACCCUGGGAUGCCGGUGGAUACUGUCGGGCUCGAGUCCGGAAGAGGCGAGUGGAAUUCCGUGGUGUAGCGGUGAAAUGCGCAGAUAUCAGGAGGAACACCAAUGGCGAAGGCAGCUCGCUGGGACGUGACUGACGCUGAGACGCGAAAGCGUGGGGAGCAAACGGG
Molecule: ribosomal RNA, 254 nt
Filed under: uncultured bacterium
Lineage: Bacteria
Description: partial 16S ribosomal RNA
Rfam family: Bacterial small subunit ribosomal RNA
Source: RNAcentral